UACGUAGGUGGCAAGCGUUAUCCGGAAUUACUGGGCGUAAAGCGCACGCAGGUGGUUGGAUAAGAUUGACGUGAAAGCUUCUGGCUUAACUGGAAGAGGUCGUUGAUGACUGUCCGACUUGAGACGAGGAGAGGGGUGCAGAAUUCCCGGUGUAGUGGUGGAAUGCGUAGAUAUCGGGAGGAAUACCAGUGGCGAAAGCGGCACACUGGCCUUAGUCUGACGCUCAGGUGCGAAAGCGUGGGGAGAGAAUGGG
This 253-nucleotide ribosomal RNA is filed under the name uncultured bacterium. RNAcentral's name for it is "partial 16S ribosomal RNA". It matches the Rfam family "Bacterial small subunit ribosomal RNA", at positions 524 to 776 of the family's 1533-position model. The record is from RNAcentral.